CCUACGGGAGGCAGCAGUCGAGAAUCAUUCACAAUGGGGGAAACCCUGAUGGUGCGACGCCGCGUGGGGGAAUGAAGGUCUUCGGAUUGUAAACCCCUGUCAUGUGGGAGCAAAUUAAAAAGAUAGUACCACACGAGGAAGAGACGGCUAACUCUGUGCCAGCAGCCGCGGUAAUACAGAGGUCUCAAGCGUUGUUCGGAAUCACUGGGCGUAAAGCGUGCGUAGGCUGUUUCGUAAGUCGUGUGUGAAAGGCGCGGGCUCAACCCGCGGACGGCACAUGAUACUGCGAGACUAGAGUAAUGGAGGGGGAACCGGAAUUCUCGGUGUAGCAGUGAAAUGCGUAGAGAUCGAGAGGAACACUCGUGGCGAAGGCGGGUUCCUGGACAUUAACUAACGCUGAGGCACGAAGGCCAGGGGAGCGAAAGGGAUUAGAUACCCUAGUAGUC
Molecule: ribosomal RNA, 446 nt
Filed under: uncultured bacterium
Lineage: Bacteria
Description: partial 16S ribosomal RNA
Rfam family: Bacterial small subunit ribosomal RNA
Source: RNAcentral